AAAAAGGGCAGGCCUUGCCUAAGGCACAGUACGGGCGGCACAUGCCUCCUUUGUGGUGAAUCGCGAUCAAGAGAUUUGCCCUGCAUAAUUUCUGAGCGGCCGCGUUGGAAUGGGUCUGUGAGGCUAAUUCCACCGG
Small nuclear RNA from Phytophthora infestans T30-4, 136 nucleotides. It matches the Rfam family "U11 spliceosomal RNA". The record is from Rfam. Lineage: Eukaryota; Oomycota; Peronosporomycetes; Peronosporales; Peronosporaceae.